Molecule: ribosomal RNA, 386 nt
Filed under: uncultured bacterium
Lineage: Bacteria
Description: bacterial SSU rRNA
Rfam family: Bacterial small subunit ribosomal RNA
Source: RNAcentral
AUUGAACGCUGGCGGCGUGCUUAACACAUGCAAGUGGAGCGACGAACCAGGCUUCGGCCUGGGGCAGAGCCGCGAACGGGUGAGUAACACGUGGGUAACCUGCCCCGAUGACUGGGACGAACCCGGGAAACCCGGGCGUAAUACCGGAUGUGCUGCAUUCGCAUCAGCGAGUGUAGGAAAGGAAGCUUCGGCCUCCGCAUCGGGAUGGGCUCGCGGCCCAUUAGCUUGUUGGGAGGUAACGGCUCACCAAGGCUUCGAUGGGUAGCUGGCUGAGAGGACGAUCAGCCACACUGGGACUGAGACACGGCCCAGACUCCUACGGGAGGCAGCAGUGGGAAUCUUGCGCAAUGCGCGAAAGCGUGACGCAGCAACGCCGCGUGGGGGAA